UACGAAGGGGGCUAGCGUUGUUCGGAAUUACUGGGCGUAAAGCGUGCGCAGGCGGCUUCUCAAGUCAGGGGUGAAAGCCCAGAGCUCAACUCUGGAAUUGCCUUUGAGACUGAGUGGCUUGAGUACGAGAGAGGUGAGUGGAAUUCCCAGUGUAGAGGUGAAAUUCGUAGAUAUUGGGAGGAACACCAGUGGCGAAGGCGGCUCACUGGACCGGUUCUGACGCUGAGGCGCGAAAGCGUGGGGAGCAAACGGG
This 253-nucleotide ribosomal RNA is filed under the name uncultured bacterium. RNAcentral describes it as "partial 16S ribosomal RNA". It matches the Rfam family "Bacterial small subunit ribosomal RNA", at positions 524 to 776 of the family's 1533-position model. The record is from RNAcentral.